AUCCAGCUGACGAGUCCCAAAAGGGACAAAACACGCUUCUUGGAU
This is a non-coding RNA of Schistosoma mansoni, 45 nucleotides long. Lineage: Eukaryota; Metazoa; Platyhelminthes; Trematoda; Strigeidida; Schistosomatidae. The record is from Rfam.